GACGAACGCUGGCGGCGUGCCUAAUACAUGCAAGUAGAACGCUGAAGGAGGAGCUUGCUUCUCUGGAUGAGUUGCGAACGGGUGAGUAACGCGUAGGUAACCUGCCUGGUAGCGGGGGAUAACUAUUGGAAACGAUAGCUAAUACCGCAUAAUAGCAGUUGUUGCAUGACAACUGUUUGAAAGGUGCAAUUGCACCACUACCAGAUGGACCUGCGUUGUAUUAGCUAGUUGGUGGGGUAACGGCUCACCAAGGCGACGAUACAUAGCCGACCUGAGAGGGUGAUCGGCCACACUGGGACUGAGACACGGCCCAGACUCCUACGGGAGGCAGCAGUAGGGAAUCUUCGGCAAUGGACGGAAGUCUGACCGAGCAACGCCGCGUGAGUGAAGAAGGUUUUCGGAUCGUAAAGCUCUGUUGUAGGAGAAGAACGAGUGUGAGAGUGGAAAGUUCACACUGUGACGGUAUCUUACCAGAAAGGGACGGCUAACUACGUG
This 495-nucleotide ribosomal RNA is filed under the name uncultured bacterium. RNAcentral describes it as "partial 16S ribosomal RNA". It matches the Rfam family "Bacterial small subunit ribosomal RNA", at positions 28 to 507 of the family's 1533-position model. The record is from RNAcentral.